GGGUCCACUCAUCUCCAGGCCACUGGAAAUUCAGUAUUAGGGUGCGGAAGUAGCUCAGGGUCACUUCCCAGGAUGCCUGCUUCUAAUGGCAUUGCCACAAGGUUGGGAGACUCCUGUCAGCUUAUUCAGGAACAACCCAUUUGCUCCCAGGGGCCUGGUUCUUACAUGCCAAUUUACAAAAUGUUGCCUAACAGACCAAGACCAAGUUGGGAAAUCAUCAAUUUUUACUGAUACAUAGAUCUCUAAAAGAGUUCCAUCAAAGCUCUUGUUGGCAGAUUAAUACAUUCUCCUUACAUUUUUUAAAGAUUUAUUUAUUUAUUUGAAAGUCAGAGUUACACAGAGUGAGGAGAGGCAGAGGGGGAGAGAGAGAGAGAGAGAAAGAGAGAGAGAGAGAGAGAGAGAGAGAGAGAGGUCUUCCAUUCCGUUGGUUCACUCCUCAAAUGGCCGCAACGGCCGGAGCUGUGCCGAUCCAAAGCCAGGAGCCAGGAGCUUCUUCCAGGUCUCCCACAUGGGUGCAGGGGCCCAAGUGUCAUCUUCUACUGCUUUCCCAGGCCAUAGCAGAGAGCUGGAUAGGAAGUGGAGCGGCCGGGUCUCGAACUGGAGCCCAUAUUGGAUGCCGGUGCUUCGUAACCCCCUGCGACACAGUGCUGGCCCCAGAUUAAUACAUUCUCUUCUCAGUAUGAGACUGUAUUUGAGAAGCUAAAUUGCUAUCAGUCUGCUGCCCAGUGAGUUGUGAGUUAAUGAAGAAGUUAGAGGUACAAGUUACAAUCACUCAACGUGCCCACUUUAACCCAAGGGAGUGCAGAGCAGGAUGGGCAGAGUGGCCUGCUCUCCACCGCAGUGGCCACACACUGACGUACAUUGACAGCUCCUUCCUCCUUUUCCAGGUGUUACAACUUCUGCUGUGGCAUUCCGUUCCUAUCACAGGUGCCACGAAUGGGGUGCAACUGACCAGCACCUGCACAGAACGACCCAGAACUCCUGCUCUGUGGUUCAUCCAUCAGCCCUCCAGGUCUAAGCCCCAUCUCUGCCUGUCUUCCUAAUAAACGCCUUGCAAAAGCUGUCUGAGCAGUCAGGUUUGAGCACUGCUCGGGACUCCUUCCUUGGUUGGUUGCCCUGUAAAACACUUCUCUCUGAAAAGGACCAGUGCUUCAGCAAAUGACUCUCCAACGCAUGCGGGCGACUGAGCCCACACUGGUCUGAUAACACUCCUAGAUCGUGUUUGACCAAGCAUUGGUCAAAUCUGAAUUUGAGGCGGGAUGUCAUAGAGCUUCCUAUUGCCGUGUCACAGUGUAUCACAAAGUUGGCAGCGAACUACGACAGCCAUUCACUGGCUCACAGUCUCACAGGUCAGAAGUCAGGGCAAGGUGCGCCUGGAUUCUUUGCUCAGGGUGUCACAAAGCCAAAAUCCAUGUGUGGCCCAGGCUGCGUUCCCAUCUGGAGCGCAGGGUCCUACGCCAAGUUCAUGCAGGCUGUUGACAGAGUUCAGUUCCUUGUGUGAUGGGUCUGAGUCCGUGCUGUCUUGUUGGGGGAGUACCCUUGGCUCCCAUGUGCUGCUGUCAGGUACCCACCCAUCUUCACAGCCAGCAACAGAAUCGCCCUUGCAUUGAAUCCCUUUCAUGGGUCAACCCUCUGUCCCUGGCCUUUCUAUGCAGAAUUAAAAGGCUCGCAUGGUUAGGUCGCUCCAUCCAGAUGAUUUUCCUUUCAAUCAGGUCAAAGCCAACUGAUUAGCAGCCUUAAUUACACCUGCAAGGUCUCUCGUGCCAUCUACUAUGAGGCAAUCAACCACA
Molecule: long non-coding RNA, 1790 nt
Organism: Oryctolagus cuniculus (rabbit)
Lineage: Eukaryota; Metazoa; Chordata; Mammalia; Lagomorpha; Leporidae
Source: Ensembl